This 427-nucleotide unclassified non-coding RNA is filed under the name fungal sp. RNAcentral's name for it is "partial internal transcribed spacer region". The stretch from base 1 to 46 matches the Rfam family "Eukaryotic small subunit ribosomal RNA", at positions 1786 to 1831 of the family's 1831-position model. Lineage: Eukaryota; Fungi. The record is from RNAcentral.
AAGUCGUAACAAGGUUUCCGUAGGUGAACCUGCGGAAGGAUCAUUACAAAACAAAAUCCAAAUCACACCAAAUGUGCUCUAUAAAUGCAGAGAGUCUGCAGAAAUUCAUGUAUUUGUGUGUGUGGUGUGUGUGUGUGUGUGUGAGUGUAUAUGCUGUUUGUUAUGUUUGUGUUUGUGAGAGAGAAAUUAACCUUUUUCUCACACACUCACAGACAUAUACAUACACAUACACACACACAUGCAUACACACACACACACACACAAGCAUAUACAUAUUUUUCACUACAUGCUGGCUCUCUUGCAUUGUCUUUGUUUAUCAAUUUUUUCAUUAACUCCUUGUUUAACCAACAACGGAUUACAAUGUUAAAACUUGAAACAAAAAAACAAAACAAAAUGACAACUUUUAACGGUGGAUCUCUUGGCUCGU